RNAcentral lists this ribosomal RNA (460 nucleotides) under uncultured bacterium. Its description in RNAcentral is "bacterial SSU rRNA". It matches the Rfam family "Bacterial small subunit ribosomal RNA", at positions 29 to 507 of the family's 1533-position model. The record is from RNAcentral.
AAUGAACGUUGGCGGCGUGGAUUAGGCAUGCAAGUCGAGCGCUCAUAGCAAUAUGGGAGCGGCGAACGGCGUAGUAAUAUGUAGGAACGUACCCUCGGGUCGGGGAUAGCCAUGGGAAACUGUGGGUAAUACCCGAUAAUCUCUGCGGAGCAAAGGUGUGAUUCCGCCUGAGGAGCGGCCUACACGAUAUUAGCUAGUUGGUAGGGUAAUGGCCUACCAAGGCUACGAUGUCUAGGGGGUGUGAGAGCAUGGCCCCCACGACCGGAACUGAGAUACUGUCCGGACACCUACGGGUGGCUGCAGUCGAGAAUCUUCCGCAAUGGACGAAAGUCUGACGGAGCGACGCCGCGUGCGGGAUGAAGGCCCUUGGGUUGUAAACCGCUGUCAGAGGGGAUGAAAUCUUCGGAGGUGCUCCUCCAAAGUUGACAGAGCCUCAAAGGAAGCACGGGCUAAGUACGUG